CACGUGGGUGAUCUGCCCUGCACUUCGGGAUAAGCCUGGGAAACUGGGUCUAAUACCGGAUAGGACCUUCUGCCGCAUGGUGGGGGGUGGAAAGGUUUUCCGGUGCAGGAUGGGCCCGCGGCCUAUCAGCUUGUUGGUGGGGUAACGGCCCACCAAGGCGACGACGGGUAGCCGGCCUGAGAGGGCGACCGGCCACACUGGGACUGAGACACGGCCCAGACUCCUACGGGAGGCAGCAGUGGGGAAUAUUGCACAAUGGGCGCAAGCCUGAUGCAGCGACGCCGCGUGAGGGAUGACGGCCUUCGGGUUGUAAACCUCUUUCAGUACCGACGAAGCGCAAGUGACGGUAGGUACAGAAGAAGCACCGGCCAACUACGUGCCAGCAGCCGCGGUAAUACGUAGGGUGCGAGCGUUGUCCGGAAUUACUGGGCGUAAAGAGCUCGUAGGCGGUUUGUCGCGUCGUCUGUGAAAACCCGCAGCUCAACUGCGGGCUUGCAGGCGAUACGGGCAGACUUGAGUACUGCAGGGGAGACUGGAAUUCCUGGUGUAGCGGUGAAAUGCGCAGAUAUCAGGAGGAACACCGGUGGCGAAGGCGGGUCUCUGGGCAGUAACUGACGCUGAGGAGCGAAAGCGUGGGUAGCGAACAGGAUUAGAUACCCUGGUAGUCCACGCCGUAAACGGUGGGCGCUAGGUGUGGGUUUCCUUCCACGGGAUCCGUGCCGUAGCUAACGCAUUAAGCGCCCCGCCUGGGGAGUACGGCCGCAAGGCUAAAACUCAAAGGAAUUGACGGGGGCCCGCACAAGCGGCGGAGCAUGUGGAUUAAUUCGAUGCAACGCGAAGAACCUUACCUGGGUUUGACAUACACCGGACCGCCCCAGAAGAUGGGGUUUCCCUUGUGGUCGGUGUACAGGUGGUGCAUGGCUGUCGUCAGCUCGUGUCGUGAAAUGUUGGGGUUAAGUCCCGCAACGAGCGCAACCCUUGUCCUGUGUUGCCAGCACGUUAAUGGUGGGGGACUCGCCAGGAGAACUGCCCGGGGUCAACUCCGGAGGAAAGGUGGGGGACAAAGUCCAAUUCUCCU
Molecule: ribosomal RNA, 1078 nt
Filed under: Rhodococcus ruber
Lineage: Bacteria; Bacillati; Actinomycetota; Actinomycetes; Mycobacteriales; Nocardiaceae
Description: bacterial SSU rRNA
Rfam family: Bacterial small subunit ribosomal RNA
Source: RNAcentral